Molecule: long non-coding RNA, 2776 nt
Filed under: Brassica napus (rape)
Lineage: Eukaryota; Viridiplantae; Streptophyta; Magnoliopsida; Brassicales; Brassicaceae
Description: long non-coding RNA (BNAP_LNC018466)
Source: RNAcentral
AUUUUACUUAAAGGAAGCCACAGUGAAAGGUUGAAAAAGGUCAAAGAAGUAGUACAAGAUUCAUUUAACCUUGCAUAUCAUCUAAUCUUGGAGGCUUCCUUCCUUGCUGAUCGGCAAACAAUGUUCUCAACCAUCUUUCCAAAGGAAGCUACAUCAUGUGUUAUGGAAACAGAAAAAGUUCCACUAUCUCCUUCUCCUGGAAAAUCUUCACUUGAAGCAAUUGAUAUUCCCUUUUCUAAUGGAUUCGAUGAACGAUCUAUUCAGAUAAAUGGGGAAUCAGAUGGUGAGAAAGCUGAAAACUGGGAUUCUGGUGGAGAUCAUGUCUUCUCUCACGAGCCAUAUAAUCCAGUUAUUUUUACUGGGUUUUCCUCUUUAUCCGCCAAGCUAAGUAAAUAUUUUGGCUUAGUUGAAAAUCCGGAAUCAGUUCCAGUUACUAUGGAUACAGAUGCAAAUAGCAGCCAUACCGAAGAUGCUACAGAAAAGGAUGAAAGACCUUUGUUACUUGACCCUGGGCUCCCGGUAAACACGAAUUCAGAUGAUGGAGAGAGGUCGCCAGCUGAGAAUGAUAUUGAGACCACCUUGGAAUCUCAGGAGCCAUGGUAGUCAAGAAGAUGUGGACUCCCCCCUAAAGGAUAAGAAGGUCGAUCGCCAAUAUACCUUAGAGCGCAAGUCCAAGAGCAUGCCCAGUGACAUCCAGAGAGACAUUUAUAUUUUGGGUGAAAAAUCUAAAGACAACGGUGUUGAAAGUGUUCAAUUCCUAUCUGAUCGUGAAGAUGAUGGUGCUGAAAUGGAUGCCCCCCCUAUUUGGGAACCCCCGGAGCCACUAGACCCAGAAGAUGAACUAGAAGAUGCUGCUGCUGAUGAAUGUUGUGAUGGCUCUAAACGGGCCAGAUCAUCUUCUUUAGGGGAAUCUAAAGAUGGAAGUAGUAACCAGAGAAAGUUCAAUGAAGAAAAUCGAAGAGCAAUGCUUGCGGUGGCAAACUCAAAGUUUAACUUCAUUGUGAGUCAGCUUAUUCAGUCGGCUGGGUUUUCAUUGGAAGAAGGUGAAAGUUGGAGUGCGAUAGUUGCUAGGUUAUGCUGGGAGGCUGCUUCACUAUUAAAGCCAGAUAUUGAUGGCAAACCAGUUGAUCCGGCUGAGUACAUCAAAGUGAAAUGCAUAGCAACUGGUUCUUGCAAUGAAAGGUAUUACAACUUACCCAUUGAUUGCCUAUACGUUGCAUAUGAUUUUUAUUCCAUUUCCCUCUACCGUACUCUCCUAAUGAUUUGUUCAUCUCUGCAGUGAAGUUUUUAAAGGCCUUGUUUUCAAAAAACAUGCUGCUCUUAAACAAAUGCCUACCAAGUAUGAGCAUCCUAGAAUAAUGUUAGUCGAAGGAGUACUGGGCCAGCCAUUAAGUGGUUUUUCUUCUCUCCAGUCAAUGGAUAAGGUGGGGAGCACAGUACCUUGGCGAUCACCAAUUCACCAUUUUGAAAGCUUUCAUUUGGUAAUAUCUGAUUUCUUUUUGUUUGGUUUUUGCCAGCAGGACAAAGAUGUUUAUGUGAAGCCUGUUGUUGAUAUCAUAGCCGCGUUGAAGCCUGACGUCAUGCUGGUGGAAAAAUCUGUUUCGCGUGAUAUCCAAUUGUCUAUUAAUGAACAAAAGGUCACUCUGGUGCUUGACAUGAAGCUCCACCGUCUACAGCGAAUUUCUCGAUGCAUAGGUUCACCAAUCAUUCCAUUGGAAUCUCUGUCUAGUCAGAAGUUAAAGCACUGUGAUUCCUUUCGCAUUGAGAAAAUUGUGGAGGAGCAUAAUGCUGUGGGCGAAGCUGAGAAGAAGCCAACUAAAACGCUGAUGUUCUUAGAAGGUUGUCCUACCCGCCUUGGCUGCACGGUGAGUGCUUGAUUGAUAUUGGAUUAUGAUAAGUUGUUGAUGGUAUCUUUACUUGAGUAACACAUCAAUACAUCACAUAACUGCCGGUAUUAUAGUAGUUUCCACUGGAUAAAACAUCAAAUCUUUCAAAAUUUGAAUUUGUGACAUUGACCUUGGACUUUCUUGCCCUGAUUAUCUGAUUUUGACAUUGUGGUAUGUGACAGAUUUUACUUAAAGGAAGCCACAGUGAGAGGUUGAAAAAGGUCAAAGAAGUAGUACAAGAUUCAUUUAACCUUGCAUAUCAUCUAAUCUUGGAGGCUUCCUUCCUUGCUGAUCGGCAAACAAUGUUCUCAACCAUCUUUCCAAAGCAAGCUACCUUAUGUGUUAUGGAAACAGAAAAAGUUCCACUAUCUCCUCCUGGAAAAUCUUCAUUUGAAACAAUUGAUAUUCCCUUUUCUAAUGGAUUCGAUGAUAUUCAGAUAAAUGGGGAAUCAGAUGGUGAGAAAGCUGAAAACUGGGAUUCUGGUGGAGAUCAUGUCUUCUCUCACGAGCCAUAUAAUCCAGUUAUUUUUACUGGGUUUUCCUCUUUAUCCGCCAAGCUAAGUAAAUAUUUUGGCUUAGUUGAAAAUCCGGAAUCAGUUCCAGUUACUAUGGAUACAGAUGCAAAUAGCAGCCAUACCGAAGAUGCUACAGAAAAGGAUGAAAGACCUUUGUUACUUGACCCUGGGCUCCCGGUAAACACGAAUUCAGAUGAUGGAGAGAGGUCGCCAGCUGAGAAUGAUAUUGAGACCACCUUGGAAUCUCAGAGUAUAUUGGUUUUAGUGUCAAAGAGGAAUGCUUCUAAGGGGAUGAUGUGUGACCAAAGUCAUUUUUCGCACAUAAAGUUUUACAAGCACUUUGAUGUCCGCUUGGAUAGAUUCCUGCGAGAUAUG